Molecule: ribosomal RNA, 942 nt
Filed under: uncultured Flavobacteriaceae bacterium
Lineage: Bacteria; Pseudomonadati; Bacteroidota; Flavobacteriia; Flavobacteriales; Flavobacteriaceae
Description: bacterial SSU rRNA
Rfam family: Bacterial small subunit ribosomal RNA
Source: RNAcentral
CAUGCAGUCGAGGGGUAGAAGCAGCUUGCUGCUUUGAGACCGGCGCACGGGUGCGUAACGCGUAUGCAAUCUACCUUUUACAGAGGGAUAGCCCAGAGAAAUUUGGAUUAAUACCUCAUAGUAUGUGAGAAUCGCAUGGUUUUCACAUUAAAGUUCCAACGGUAAAAGAUGAGCAUGCGUCCCAUUAGCUAGAUGGUAAGGUAACUGCUUACCAUGGCGACGAUGGGUAGGGGUCCUGAGAGGGAGAUCCCCCACACUGGUACUGAGACACGGACCAGACUCCUACGGGAGGCAGCAGUGAGGAAUAUUGGACAAUGGGCGCAAGCCUGAUCCAGCCAUGCCGCGUGCAGGAUGACGGUCCUAUGGAUUGUAAACUGCUUUUGUACAGGAAGAAACACUCCCUCGUGAGGGAGCUUGACGGUACUGUAAGAAUAAGGAUCGGCUAACUCCGUGCCAGCAGCCGCGGUAAUACGGAGGAUCCAAGCGUUAUCCGGAAUCAUUGGGUUUAAAGGGUCCGUAGGCGGUUUAAUAAGUCAGUGGUGAAAGCCCAUCGCUCAACGGUGGAACGGCCAUUGAUACUGUUAAACUUGAAUUAUUAGGAAGUAACUAGAAUAUGUAGUGUAGCGGUGAAAUGCUUAGAGAUUACAUGGAAUACCAAUUGCGAAGGCAGGUUACUACUAAUGGAUUGACGCUGAUGGACGAAAGCGUGGGUAGCGAACAGGAUUAGAUACCCUGGUAGUCCACGCCGUAAACGAUGGAUACUAGCUGUUGGGCGCAAGUUCAGUGGCUAAGCGAAAGUGAUAAGUAUCCCACCUGGGGAGUACGUUCGCAAGAAUGAAACUCAAAGGAAUUGACGGGGGCCCGCACAAGCGGUGGAGCAUGUGGUUUAAUUCGAUGAUACGCGAGGAGCCUUACCAGGCUUAAAUGUAGUUUGACCGAUUU